GACGAACGCUGGCGGCGUGCUUAACACAUGCAAGUCGAACGUGAUUUUUGUGGAAAUUCUUUCGGGAAUGGAAAUGAAAUGAAAGUGGCGAACGGGUGAGUAACACGUGAGCAACCUACCUUACACAGGGGGAUAGCCGUUGGAAACGACGAUUAAUACCGCAUGAGACCACAGAAUCGCAUGAUAUAGGGGUCAAAGAUUUAACGGUGUAAGAAGGGCUCGCGUCUGAUUAGCUAGUUGGAAGGGUAAAGGCCUACCAAGGCGACGAUCAGUAGCCGGUCUGAGAGGAUGAACGGCCACAUUGGAACUGAGACACGGUCCAAACUCCUACGGGAGGCAGCAGUGGGGAAUAUUGCACAAUGGGGGGAACCCUGAUGCAGCGACGCCGCGUGAGCGAAGAAGGUUUUCGAAUCGUAAAGCUCUGUCCUAUGAGAAGAUAAUGACGGUAUCAUAGGAGGAAGCCCCGGCUAAAUACGUG
RNAcentral lists this ribosomal RNA (478 nucleotides) under uncultured bacterium. RNAcentral's name for it is "partial 16S ribosomal RNA". It matches the Rfam family "Bacterial small subunit ribosomal RNA", at positions 28 to 507 of the family's 1533-position model. The record is from RNAcentral.